GUUCAGUUCCAAGAAGGGGAGAGGGGAAUCAAGAUAUGUGACUUCCACAAUUGAGACAGGUCACAAAUCACAAAAUGGAACUAGAUCACAUGCUGGAAAACUCCUUCUGGCAAUCCAGGGCACCGUGUCAUCAAUAAGGCAGUCGCGGUCCGAGUGAGGCUGGCCUCCAUCCUGGCCUCCGUCCUUGCCUCUGAGUGGGUCGCGUAAAGCCACCGCCUUUGAGCCAGAUCUUCAGAUGUGGACCUGGGAGAAGGUGCUCUGGGGCGCUCCUUUCUAAGCCGGCUUUGUGACGGGUGGCCGACACUGGAGAGCCCGAGCAGGAACAGGAUGGGAACCGACGAGGAUGAGCUGGGCAGUCCCCAUCGCCUCCCUGGCCUCGCCAAAUCACCCUUGACAUUCUGCCUGGAAGCAGGAGCUUGGAGGAGAGCCACCGGGCGAUUUCACCCCACUCAAGACAGUGCCCUGAACCCUGCAAGGGCCCUGGCACUCAGAGCACACUCAUUCAUGCUGGGAAGCCAAGGGGAACUGGCUGGAAGGCAAAGGUGAGUGGCAAGCGGGGUCAAAGCGCCCAGUGGGGGAAUCCAGAGGCCUGGACUGGAUUCCCAGCUCUGGCCCACUGGCUUCCCUGAAGCCUCAGUCUUCUGGCCUAUACAAAGGGUGCAAAGAAUCCCAUCUGUCUGCCUCUAGCAGCUGGGAGGAUUACAAUGAGACCAUGUCGCCAAACCUCAGGCAUUCUCCCCUUAAGAGCCCCGUCUGGGAAUAGCCAGAGAUCUGGGGAAUAGCCAGAGGUCCCAGAUGCGCACAGCUGCUCUUGAGGCAGACGCCACCACCAAAGGCAUUAAGACAGUUAACUCUUCCAGAGUUCAGUGUCUCCCCAGGACUCCGGGAACACGUUUGCUCCACCAGCCAAGGUGGAUUCUUUGUGCCAAAGAACCAUCCACUCAUAGACGUGGGAACACCACCCAUGCAGACCUCAACAUGCAACGACAUAUUACACCUUAAUUAUGAAGCUCUUAGAAUAACUGCUGCUAUAAAUUUUAAAACUGUGUGCAAUUACCCUCUUUAAACACACCCAAGAAACUAAGCACCGAGGGUGGAGGCGGGGGGAAAGAGGCAGUUGAGAAAGGGAGAAGGGGGCACCUUGCA
Non-coding RNA from Leptonychotes weddellii (Weddell seal), 1146 nucleotides. NCBI's taxonomy places the organism in Eukaryota, Metazoa, Chordata, Mammalia, Carnivora, Phocidae. The record is from RefSeq and is a predicted model, not a curated record.